ACUUAAUAAUAUUUUGGAGUAACACUUCGGUGUAGUAGCUCGGGGCAGCGUAAGUUGUGGUAUAAUACUCCAGCGCCUUAGCGGUGUAGUACUUGGGUGCCUCGGUGUAGUAACUCGGGGCAGCGUAGUACUUGGGAGC
Molecule: long non-coding RNA, 139 nt
Organism: Daphnia pulicaria
Lineage: Eukaryota; Metazoa; Arthropoda; Branchiopoda; Diplostraca; Daphniidae
Exons: 5
Source: RefSeq, a predicted model, not a curated record